RNAcentral lists this long non-coding RNA (3466 nucleotides) under Olea europaea subsp. europaea. Lineage: Eukaryota; Viridiplantae; Streptophyta; Magnoliopsida; Lamiales; Oleaceae. The record is from RNAcentral.
AAAAUUGUUCGGAAAAAAUGCUUUUAUUAUGUUUGGAUAUCUCAAAUUCGAAGAUUUAAUGAAUUUGCACUAACACCUGUCCUUAAAACAUUUCUAUAAUUCAUCCUGAGCCAGUUAUGCUACUAUAUAGUUUUUCGGAUUCCAGUGUUAAGUUCUGUUAUGACCUGUCUUCUUUAAUAGUUUGGCAUUGUAUCUCCCAUUAAUUGUAGAAUGAUGUACUAGACAGAAGUUGCUUUAUUGUUGCAUGUGGUAUGGUUUUAAUUGCACGUCUAUCUGAUAAUUAAAAAGCUGACUUAGAGGAUGUUUGGUGGGGAUUAAAAUUAGAUUUUUUAGUAGAUUGCGAUAGAAGUUUUUGAAAUGUGUUGUUGAAAAGUUGUGAGACCAAUGAAAGAUGUGGUUAAUAUUUAACUUUGACUUAUAUUAAAAUCAUAUUUUAAUCCUAACCAAACAGGCUCUUAGACUAAAAUUUUCUUAUAAGUGAAUAAAUUUCAAAAUAAAUAAUUCUAUUCGUGGUAUAAGUUGGAAAUAACUAAGUAUUUACUUUGUCACUAAGGUAAGACUUACUUCCAAAAGGUAACUUUUUUUUACUUGGAAGUAAGAAAAAAGUAGGUUAUUCAAACAUGUUUAGAGGCUAAAUGUUACUUUUACUUUCUUUUUUAAGUUUAGCCAACGUGCUUUUAGUAUUUUGUAAGGUACUUACGCUUUGGUUAGUUCUUUAACCAUGUCAAUGCCUUACUCGACAAACAAGUUUAAAAGAGUCAAAACUUUGAUCUUCAAAUACGUUUCACUAUCGCUCCAUCGCAUAAUAACUGUUGCAAUUUCAUCAAAAAGUUGUCCCAUUAGGGUCUUGCCUUUUCAUUUAAAGCAAGCUUUCCACAUAUAUUCAAACAACGAUUUUAAAAUUUAUGGGACCCACUUAAGUUCAAGAUAUACUUGAAACAAUCAAUUCAAUCACCUUCAGAAGCUUGGUCUGUCUCAAUAUGCCUUUUGUUAUAUUUAUGAGUUUAUCUCACUUAUUAAGUUACUAAUUUUUUUUUUUUUUUGGCACUGAUCAUGCUUUAGGUAAACAAUAUUGACGCUGAAGAAAGACUUACAGUUGCAGAUGCUUUGGUAUAUGCUUGCAACCAAGGAGUGGAUAAAGUACACUUACAUGCCUUUACUUUUGCAUCUCUUUGGAAAACACCAUUUUUAUGGGUUUUAUUCUCUCAUCAGUUGUCCAUGUAUUUCGUUUUCUGGAACGAGUACCUAAAACGCACGAGAUAUAUGAUACACAAAUUUAAAACCUUUGAAUAAGUCAUGACACUAAAAUUUUAGGGUUCACUUUGGAUUUUGAUAUGUGUUUUUAAUCAUUUGCAGAUCGUUGAUUUGGCCACAUUGACUGGGGCUUGUUUGUUGCUCUUGGGCCCUCUAUUGCUGGUAUGUAAUUUAUAAAUCUUAUUUGUCCUGUAUUCUUUGAGAACCACCUCCGAUCCAAUAGAUUUUUUGGCUUCUUUUCAAUUUGAAAUUCAUAAAAUGUUCUUAACAUGGAGAUUCGUUGUGAAGAUCCUUGCACUGGCUUAUUCUUGAUAUAAAAAAUCAGGUGUUUUUACACCCAGUGAUGACCUGGCAAAUGAGGUAUUUGCAGCUUCAGAGGUUAGUGGGGAAAAACUUUGGUGGAUGCCCCUGGAGGAAAGUUAUUGGGAGUCCAUGAAAUCUGGAGUGGCUGAUAUGGUGAACACCGAUGGUCGCCAAGGUGGUUCCAUCACUGCAGCUCUUUCCUUGAAGCAGGUAUAGCUUCCUCCGCACCCCUUAUUCCAUGCUGAAGAUUAAGUUUGUUUUACGUUUUAAGCUUUUUACAUACAAUUUGAAAAAGAACUAUGGAAUUGCAAUUCUCGAACAAGCAAUCGAAAAGAUUCUGGAGCAUCCUCCAUUUUAGUUGUUACGAUAAUUGCCUAAGUUGUAGUUUUGAACAAUUCUUAUAGCAAGUCGAUUUCAAAUCUAGAAUAUUGGCUAUUCCGAAAAGAAUUUCAAAAUUUAACCAAUGGGCUUCUUUUUCUGAUGGCAAAAAAUAAUAAAAUAAAAAAAUCUUGUUAUGUUCCUUUUAAUCAGAGGAAAUCACUUGAUUGAAUAUGGAAAAAUUGGGUGCUGCCAUGUAGCUUAAUAUCAGCUAUGUUCAUGAGUUGAAGAUGCAUGGGUCAUUAGUGGGAGUUUAGUUUGUGCAUGGGCGUGGGUUACUUAAGUGUCGCAACAACUGAUACUCAUUUGGAGAUGUUUGCAAAUUUGACCAAUUGAGGCAGGUGAUUUUUUUAGUUGGCAAACUAACACUCCAAAUGGUGAAAGAAUCGCCCCCUCUCCAUGUCUACUGGAUCUGUUCUUGGGGAUAAGGAAAUUUUUUAUGGAUCAUUGGACAUUUUAGUUCAUCUGAAGGUCUAGAUAUGAUUGCAUAGAUUCUCUUCUUGUCUUUCCUUAAAUUACAUUUUUCCCUUCCCCUAGUUUUCUACUAAAUUCUGCAUUUUUAUUUCAUGAAUUUGAACCUCUGCACUUCAUGAAAACAGAUUUUCUUCCGAAUUUCUUAGAAAAAUUUAUUAGAUAAUACGUGUUAUAUUCCAAAGUUAUCCCAGUUCUAGCCUCUAUAAAUGCUGUAUACCAUAAGAAUUUGUUUGUAAGGUGGACUAUACAAUACUAGGCACUAUUAAGGAAGAAAAAAAUGUUAAAUCUAGUCUAUUGUAUUGCGUACCAAAGAUGUUCUAAAAGUUCUCUAAAUGUAUACCUUACAACGCUUUGUGUUUGUGGGGUGGGGGGCCCUAAUAAAGUGAAACCCAAAUGAGCUCCGACUAAUAAUAGAUUAAGAAACGAAAGCACGUGUUUGAGACUAUAAGUUGUUCCCUAGUCUGUCUCAGUGAAGGCACCUGACAUGUAACUCCGUACAUGCAGUUUGUUGAUGAGAAGGUCCAGUGGAUGCACAUUGACAUGGCUGGCCCGGUUUGGAAUGAUAAGAAGAAAAUUGCAACUGGUUUUGGUAUUUCAACACUGGUUACAUGGGUUCUAAAGAAUUCUUCUUAGUUUGGGUGUCCGUGGGGCUGCUCAGAGGACAAAUACCUUAUAUCUGAAGUCGAUUCAAGAAAAAAUGGAAAAUUCUUAUUCAGGUUGUUCGAUGGCUGGGGUGUCGAGUUAUACUAAUAAAGAUGGUUAGAGAAGAAAACGAGGCCGUUGCUGCGUUCUGGAGUCGUGAACUCUUGUUACUGUUCCUUUAUAUUAUGAGAAGUUUCUUUUAUUUUUGGCCCUAUCAUCUUGUUCCUGGGAAAAUGAAAAUAUCCCAUGUUUCUGCAUGCAAAAUGUGAUGUAAAAUGAACGCAGAUUGUUCUCGAACUUUCCUCAGCAUGGUUUACCCCAGCAUAGCUUACCAAGGCUUGAUCUCGGGCAGGAUAAAAAAAUUUCAAUGCUAAUGUGACAAUAGAAUCUUAGUUAUGACUGUAGCAAAUUUUUA